Molecule: RNA transcript, 2899 nt
Organism: Ailuropoda melanoleuca (giant panda)
Lineage: Eukaryota; Metazoa; Chordata; Mammalia; Carnivora; Ursidae
Gene: CSF2RA
Gene name: colony stimulating factor 2 receptor subunit alpha
Exons: 14
Source: RefSeq, a predicted model, not a curated record
AAAAGGGAAGUUGAGGGUUGAAAUGUCUCGGCAAUGCAAUCAGUGUGUUCACUUUCUGACCAGACAGAGAGCUGUCCAAGAGAACGGCCAGAUGUUGGAGCGCCGGGAAACUGAGCAAGAAAGCAGGUGGCCGGGGCAGAGCCUGGUGCGGUGGGGUUGUCCUCGUCUUUCGGGCAGCCCUAUGGGACUCGGGGCCACAGCCAUCCUGUUCUGCAUGCUCCUGGACCCAGUUUUCCUCCAGACUCUGGAGCAGCAGGAUCUUCCAACCGUGGCAGGGAUCCCCAGUCUAAAUAUGAAGUUUGACUCUUGGAGAAUGGAACUGAGUUGGGACUGCAAAGAAAACACUACCUACCUCGAGUGCGUGAUGAUUCACAAGGACAAAGGGCCGAUCGAAAUAACACCCCAGGAGAAAGAAUGUCACUGCAAGUUUUCGGAUUAUUCUCUCCAUGAUGGAGUCACGCUCAUGGUUAAAGUAAAUAGCACCCAAAGACCGAUUCCAGAAACACUGGUCUACACUAACGCAGGUGGGGAGGGCACAGCUGCCCAAAACUUCUCCUGUUUCAUCUACAAUGCCAACUUCAUGAACUGCAGUUGGGCAAAGGGUCAAGCUGCCCCUGAUGAUGUCCAAUAUUUUUUGUACAUACGAGACUCAAGUUUGGAAUUUUAUAGGAAAAAAAGGGAAAGAGAGUGUCCUUGUUACAUAGAAGACUCAGGAACCCACGUGGGAUGCCACCUGGAAGACCUCUCAGGAUUAGCGAGCUACAAUUACUUCCUGGUGAACGGUACCAGCCAAGGGACAGGAAUCCAGUUCUUUGAUUCGGUUUUGUCGUGGAAGAAAAUCGAAAUAUUUAGCCCACCCAACAAUAUCAGCGUGCACUGCACCAGGUCCCACUGCCUGAUUCAGUGGGAAAAGCCCAAGACCCGACAUAACCUGCCCAACUGGGAGUUCAAAUACCAGCUGGACAUCCAAAAACAGAGCAAUAAGGAACACAGCGAGAAUCAACCGAUUGAGGUGUCCGGAAAUUGGGAAAAUAACUACAACUUCCCGAGUCCGGAGCCCAGAGCCAAGCACACUGUGAAAAUAAGGGCCUCGGACGCACGCAUCGAGAAAUGGGGUGCCUGGAGCCAGGCCGUUGAGUUCGGCUCUAAGGAACCCGAGCCCAGCCUCGUGCCCACCUAUGCGCUGGUGGUCCUGGGGACCUUCCUCACCGCCCUCAUCCUAGGCUGCCUUUUGAAAAGGUUCUUCGCGUCUGAAAGGUUAUUCCCGCCGAUUCCACGCAUCAAAGACAAAUGGGAUGAUAGCCAUCAGUGUGACCACCAGGUCAUCUGGGAGAACUUCACGUUGGACACGGAGAAAGCUGACAACGAAGAGAUCCUCACCGUGGAAGAAGUCACAGUGACUCCAGGAAACAAGGAAACUUUCCUGGCAUUACGGAGACUCAGGUGCUUGUCUGCCAGCAGACAGCUUGGCUGGGACGUGGGUCUCUGACGUGUCUGCUGUCCCUGGGGGAACAUUGCCCUCCCCCUGUUUCUCCACCGGCUGCAGCUCAGCCCCAUAUGGGGAGCACCUGAGGGUCUUGAAUAGUAAUCUCCCCUGCGAAGGCUCAUUUGCCACGUAACGUGACACAUUCACAGGCUCCAGGAAGCGGGGUGUGGACAUCUUUGAGGACAUUGUUCCGUCCACCACGUGGGGAUUGGGACUUCGACAAGUUUGGGGACGUUAUUCCAUGCACCAUAUGCAGACUGGGACGCAGACGCGUUUGGGGACAUUGCUCCGUCUGCCACACCUGGAUUGGGACAUGGACACCUUCGUCUGCAGGCACGGACAGGGAUGGGAGGGGACUUCUCACGAGGAUCCUGAAACCAAUGCUGCACCUUGACCUUUGAGACCCGUGAUUACCGAAACCCCGCCGGCCACUCGCCCACCCACAUGAAGAUUCAGCCGCCUUGGCGUUACCGAUGGCUUGACAGAGGCUCUGAACUCUGUUGGAUGUUCCACAUGGACCCCACGCUCCCCCGAGUGUGUGCAACCUGUGGCUCCAGGUUGCUGCCUCACGGUUCCAACAGCCACUUUCUGUGGGUCCUGUCCAUCUGUCCGUCCAUAAGAUCAUGCACGUGAUGUGGAAACCUGCCUCCCUUCCCUCAUCUCUGUAUGAAACACCAGCGCCCUCUCUCUGCGACUCCUGGCACCUGACGUCCUGCCGUAUGUGGGGGCGCCCACUUCAGGCCAAGACCUGUCCGUGGAAAGUAAAUGCUGCCCAGAGUCCUGAAGGACCAACUGGCCUCCAGGAUGACACACGCCAGCCCAAAGGAGGCCCACAGCGACACCGGAGGACAGGACCUCCGCGUGUUGGGAGUGUGGCUGGUGCCCCAAGGCGCCCAUGUAGGACUGUGAGGAAUAAAAGCAUGGACGGCCCCAAAGGCAUGCUCCUUGCACUUUGAAAUUUUGCCCUGGAGUGGCCGAGAUGGAGCCAAAAAAUUCUUUAAAGAGAAAGAAAAGCGCUUUUAUUUAUUUGAGAGAGACUGAGAGAGGAGUGGCAGGCCGAGGGAGAAGCAGACUCCCUGCUGAGCAAGGACCCCCCCCCCAAUGCGGGGCUCGAUCCCAGGACCCUGAGAUCAUGACCUGAGACGAAGGCAGACGCUUAAAUGACUGAGCCACCCAGACACCCAGGAACCAAAAAAUUCUAUGCACAGAAAACAAAAAACCAGGUUUCUGUGAACAACUCUCCAUCCGCAAAUAAUAGAUAUGCGAGAUUCUAAAUCACAUUGUGAAAUAGAGACAUUUUAUAUUUAGCCUUUCCAGUUUCUGUUCCCUCUUUCCUUCUCCGUUCUGCCACCAUGACGCCCUCCCCUCUCACCCUUCGCUUCUGUAAAACAUGACUUCCUGCAUUUAUGAGCA